Juglans microcarpa x Juglans regia is the source of this 175-nucleotide long non-coding RNA. RefSeq lists it as uncharacterized. The record is from RefSeq and is a predicted model, not a curated record. The transcript has 2 exons. Lineage: Eukaryota; Viridiplantae; Streptophyta; Magnoliopsida; Fagales; Juglandaceae.
UCCGGUUCCGCAAUUAUAUAUAUAUAUAUAUAUAUAUAUAUAUAUACAGAGAGAGAGAGAGAGAGAGAGAUUGAUUGGCUUCGAUCGAUCUCUUUGUGUGUCAGUCUGAGAACUUCUAGCUUGAUGAGCUCCGGAAGGAAGAAGACGUACGUAGAAGAGGAAACGAUGAUGAAAA